CGGUAAGUGAAGGAGACAAGGAAGAAGAAGGAGAAAAGUGGAGGAGACCAGAUUCAGCGAGGAGAUGAGAGAGGGGCACAAGAAAAUGAAAAGAGAAAACACAUGAGGGAGACAAGUAGAUGAGAGAAGGAGGCAAAAUUUUGGAGGAGACAAGUGAAAUACGACAUUGAGGAAGGGGACUAAGUGAAGAGGAAACAAGUCAAGGCCACAAAAUUGGGACCAGUUUGAAGACUUCCAAGAUACGACAGCGGGGACCCCAUUUUGAGUACUGAUGGACUGCAGGCCAGAUUGAACGAGACAGCGCAGCUAUUAAAAGCGGUUAGGUGGUAACCAGGGGAAACGCGUGCUUUGCAACAAUGGCCGCAGUGAAGACAACAACAAUGAGCCUUUGGAAGUUAAUGCAAAAAGACGAACACUGGACAGAAAGGAAUGGGUGUGAUAUUUUAAAGCUGUCACACAGCACUUUUGUGCUUCAGCAUUGCAGUCUGACUGCUGACUGAGAUGUUUCUGCAUCCACCAGUGAGUCAAAGUACAAAUACUUCACUGUUAGAUAGUAUUUCACUUGAAUACAGUGGCGCCUUGACUUGUUGAGUUUAAUUCGUUAAGUGCUUAAGGUGGUAUGUUUUUGCAGCUUACAUGUGUCGUUGUGUGUAGGCGUAAGACGCUUGACAAAUUAACAUUUAUUUUUCCAGGUCAUGGAAAGGACCUCCUCAUCUUGAUAAAAGAAGCCCCUCAUCAAAAGGAGCUUCUUUCAUCAAAAGGAGCUUCUUUUUUUUGUCCCGAGUUUAUCAUGAGUAAUUGAAGAAUUGUACAUAAUUUGGGAACCCAGAGGCUUAUGUGCUCUGGAAAUAAAUUCAUCGAUGUUUUACCAA
Hippocampus zosterae (dwarf seahorse) is the source of this 872-nucleotide long non-coding RNA. RefSeq lists it as uncharacterized. Lineage: Eukaryota; Metazoa; Chordata; Actinopteri; Syngnathiformes; Syngnathidae. The transcript is spliced from 2 exons. The record is from RefSeq and is a predicted model, not a curated record.